This is a microRNA precursor of Neotoma lepida (desert woodrat), 71 nucleotides long. It matches the Rfam family "mir-344 microRNA precursor family". Lineage: Eukaryota; Metazoa; Chordata; Mammalia; Rodentia; Cricetidae. The record is from Rfam.
UUACCAGUCAGGCUCCUGGCUAGAAUCCAGGUACUGGCUGGUACCUGAUCUAGCCAAAGCCUGACCGUAAG